This 77-nucleotide transfer RNA is filed under the name Verrucomicrobiota bacterium. RNAcentral's name for it is "Verrucomicrobia bacterium (groundwater metagenome) tRNA-Val". It matches the Rfam family "tRNA". Rfam says of the family: Transfer RNA (tRNA) molecules are approximately 80 nucleotides in length. Lineage: Bacteria; Pseudomonadati; Verrucomicrobiota. The record is from RNAcentral.
GGGCGUAUGGCUCAGUUGGCUAGAGCACUUCCUUGACAUGGAAGGGGUCACAGGUUCGAGUCCUGUUACGCCCACCA